RNAcentral lists this ribosomal RNA (478 nucleotides) under uncultured bacterium. Its description in RNAcentral is "partial 16S ribosomal RNA". It matches the Rfam family "Bacterial small subunit ribosomal RNA", at positions 28 to 523 of the family's 1533-position model. The record is from RNAcentral.
GACGAACGCUGGCGGCGUGCUUAACACAUGCAAGCCGAACGGUAAGGCCCUUCGGGGUACACGAGUGGCGAACGGGUGAGUAACACGUGGGUGAUCUGCCCUGCACUUCGGGAUAAGCCUGGGAAACUGGGUCUAAUACCGGAUAGGACCACUGCCUGCAUGGGUGGUGGUGGAAAGCUUUUGCGGUGUGGGAUGGGCCCGCGGCCUAUCAGCUUGUUGGUGGGGUGAUGGCCUACCAAGGCGACGACGGGUAGCCGGCCUGAGAGGGUGACCGGCCAGACUGGGACUGAGAUACGGCCCAGACUCCUACGGGAGGCAGCAGUGGGGAAUAUUGCACAAUGGGCGCAAGCCUGAUGCAGCGACGCCGCGUGAGGGAUGGCGGCCUUCGGGUUGUAAACCUCUUUCAGCACCGACGAAGCGCAAGUGACGGUAGGUGCAGAAGAAGGACCGGCCAACUACGUGCCAGCAGCCGCCGUAA